RNAcentral lists this ribosomal RNA (433 nucleotides) under uncultured bacterium. RNAcentral's name for it is "partial 16S ribosomal RNA". It matches the Rfam family "Bacterial small subunit ribosomal RNA", at positions 29 to 507 of the family's 1533-position model. The record is from RNAcentral.
AACGAACGCUGGCGGCAUGCCUAACACAUGCAAGUCGAACGAGACCUCCGGGUCUUGUGGCGCACGGGUGCGUAACGCGUGGGAACCUUCCCAUAUGUUCGGCAUACCUCCCCGAAAGGGGUGCCAACACCGGAUAAGGUCUUCGGACCAAAGAUUUAUUGCCUUUGGAGGGGCCCGCGUUGGAUUCGCUAGUUGGGAGGGUAAAAGCCUACCACGGCGCCGAUCCAUAGCUGGUAUGAGAGGAUGAUCAGCCACACUGGGACUGGGACACGGCCCAGAAUCCUACGGGAGGGAGGAGUGGGGAAUAGUGGAAAAUGGGCGGAAGGCUGAACCAGCUAGGCCGGGUGAGUGAUGAAGGCCGUAGGGUUGUAAAGCUCUUUUACCCGGGAUGAUAAUGACAGUACCGGGAGAAUAAGCGCCGGCUAACUCCGUG